GACGGGUGAGUAACGCGUGGGAAUCUACCCAGUACUACGGAAUAACUCAGGGAAACUUGUGCUAAUACCGUAUACGCCCUCCGGGGGAAAGAUUUAUCGGUAUUGGAUGAGCCCGCGUUUGAUUAGCUUGUUGGUGAGGUAAUGGCUCACCAAGGCGAUGAUCAAUAGCUGGUCAGAGAGGAUGAUCAGCCACACUGGGACUGAGACACGGCCCAGACUCCUACGGGAGGCAGCAGUGGGGAAUAUUGGACAAUGGGCGCAAGCCUGAUCCAGCCAUGCCGCGUGAGUGAUGACGGCCUUAGGGUUGUAAAACUCUUUCAACGGUGAAGAUAAUGACGGUAACCGUAGAAGAAGCCCCGGCUAACUUCGUGCCAGCAGCCGCGGUAAUACGAAGGGGGCUAGCGUUGUUCGGAAUAACUGGGCGUAAAGCGCGCGUAGGCGGACUAGUCAGUCAGGGGUGAAAUCCCGGGGCUCAACCCCGGAACUGCCUUUGAUACUGCUAAUCUUGAGUUCGAGAGAGGUGAGUGGAAUCCC
RNAcentral lists this ribosomal RNA (534 nucleotides) under uncultured Phyllobacteriaceae bacterium. RNAcentral's name for it is "bacterial SSU rRNA". It matches the Rfam family "Bacterial small subunit ribosomal RNA", at positions 100 to 670 of the family's 1533-position model. Lineage: Bacteria; Pseudomonadati; Pseudomonadota; Alphaproteobacteria; Hyphomicrobiales; Phyllobacteriaceae. The record is from RNAcentral.